UACGUAGGGGGCAAGCGUUAUCCAGAUUUACUGGGCGUAAAGCGCGUGUAGGCGGCUGGUUAGGCGUGAUGUGAAAUCUUCCGGCUCAACCGGAAAACUGCAUUGCGAACCGGCCUGGCUAGAGUGCAGGAGAGGGAAGCGGAAUUCCAGGUGUAGCGGUGAAAUGCGUAGAUAUCUGGAGGAACGCCAGUGGCGAAGGCGGCUUCCUGGCCUGCAACUGACGCUGAGACGCGAAAUCGUGGGGAGCGAACCGG
RNAcentral lists this ribosomal RNA (254 nucleotides) under uncultured bacterium. RNAcentral describes it as "partial 16S ribosomal RNA". It matches the Rfam family "Bacterial small subunit ribosomal RNA", at positions 524 to 776 of the family's 1533-position model. The record is from RNAcentral.